GACGAACGCUAGCGGCGUGCUUAACACAUGCAAGUCGAACGGAAAGGCCCUGCUUUUGUGGGGUGCUCGAGUGGCGAACGGGUGAGUAACACGUGAGUAACCUGCCCUUGACUUUGGGAUAACUUCAGGAAACUGGGGCUAAUACCGGAUAGGAGCUCCUGCUGCAUGGUGGGGGUUGGAAAGUUUCGGCGGUUGGGGAUGGACUCGCGGCUUAUCAGCUUGUUGGUGGGGUAGUGGCUUACCAAGGCUUUGACGGGUAGCCGGCCUGAGAAGGUGACCGGCCACAUUGGGACUGAGAUACGGCCCAGGCUCCUACGGGAGGCAGCAGUGGGGAAUAUUGCACAAUGGGCGGAAGCCUGAUGCAGCAACGCCGCGUGCGGGAUGACGGCCUUCGGGUUGUAAACCGCUUUCGCCUGUGACGAAGCGUGAGUGACGGUAAUGGGUAAAGAAGCACCGGCUAACUACGUG
This 468-nucleotide ribosomal RNA is filed under the name uncultured bacterium. Its description in RNAcentral is "partial 16S ribosomal RNA". It matches the Rfam family "Bacterial small subunit ribosomal RNA", at positions 28 to 507 of the family's 1533-position model. The record is from RNAcentral.